AAUGAAUUGCCUGAAAAAAGGGUUAUCUUGAUAGGAUAAAUUAUGUGAUAAUUUUACAUUCAUUA
Molecule: transfer RNA, 65 nt
Filed under: Procecidochares utilis
Lineage: Eukaryota; Metazoa; Arthropoda; Insecta; Diptera; Tephritidae
Description: tRNA-Ile
Source: RNAcentral